This is a long non-coding RNA of Hypanus sabinus (Atlantic stingray), 684 nucleotides long. RefSeq lists it as uncharacterized. The transcript has 3 exons. The record is from RefSeq and is a predicted model, not a curated record. NCBI's taxonomy places the organism in Eukaryota, Metazoa, Chordata, Chondrichthyes, Myliobatiformes, Dasyatidae.
CACAUUUAAAAUAAAUCAUCCAUACUUAAGAAAUAGUGUCCUAAAUCAUGCCUUCUUGAAGAGAGGCUAAGGGAGCUAGGGCUUUCCUCUUUGGAGUGAAGACAGACGAGAAGUGACUUGUUAAGUGUGCGAGAAGUGGAAAGCAGCCAGUGAGUGGGCGGGCCAGUGAAGGAGUGGAGAUUUGAGGCUUUGACGAGAAGAGGCUGAGGACGAGCUUCACUCCAAGUGAGGCUCACAGUAUGGUUCAGAGAAUGCUCUACACAGCUGGAAUCUUCGUCUUUCAGGAAUGUAAUCUGUGUACAAAUUGCACUGCACAUUCCCAUUGAGAGGAAGGCCAUCUAUGGGGAAAAAGAACCAGCUGAUCUACAAGUCACUAUAAAUCACUCUGCUUUUAAACUACAGGAAUGUCAAAAAUUUACACUUUUGUAGCAUCUUUAAUGCUGUAAGGCCUACUUUGUUUGCUGAUUGUUCCUAUAUCUAAUGGUCUUAUUUGGGAGAAAGCAGGGGAAUAGGGUUGAGAGGGAUGGAAAGGCAGAGAUGAAUCAAUGGUCCAAUUGGCCUAAUUCUGCUCCUGUGUCUUAUGGUCAGAGAAGAAUCACAAGGCAAAAACUGACCUUUAGCCAUUUAAUUAAUUUUAGGUCUUGUGAUCAAAAAUGAACUGUUGGGGGUGGGAGAACAGGGAAA